GAUGAACGCUAGCUACAGGCUUAACACAUGCAAGUCGAGGGGCAGCGCAGUGUAGCAAUACAUGGGCGGCGACCGGCGCACGGGUGCGUAACGCGUAUCCAACCUUCCCGUUACUCAGGGAUAGCCUUCCGAAAGGGAGAUUAAUACAAGAUGGUAUUCAAAUUUCGCAUGUUAUUUGAAUUAAAGAUUUAUCGGUAACGGAUGGGGAUGCGUGACAUUAGGUAGAUGGCGGGGUAACGGCCCACCAUGCCCACGAUGUCUAGGGGUUCUGAGAGGAAGGUCCCCCACACUGGAACUGAGACACGGUCCAGACUCCUACGGGAGGCAGCAGUGAGGAAUAUUGGUCAAUGGCCGGAAGGCUGAACCAGCCAAGUAGCGUGAAGGAUGAAGGUUCUAUGGAUUGUAAACUUCUUUUAUACGGGAAUAAAACCACCUACGUGUAGGUGCUUGUAUGUACCGUAUGAAUAAGCAUCGGCUAACUCCGUG
Molecule: ribosomal RNA, 486 nt
Filed under: uncultured bacterium
Lineage: Bacteria
Description: bacterial SSU rRNA
Rfam family: Bacterial small subunit ribosomal RNA
Source: RNAcentral